AGUGAACGCUGGCGGUAGGCCUAACACAUGCAAGUCGAACGGCAGCACAGUAAGAGCUUGCUCUUACGGGUGGCGAGUGGCGGACGGGUGAGGAAUACAUCGGAAUCUACUUUUUCGUGGGGGAUAACGUAGGGAAACUUACGCUAAUACCGCAUACGACCUACGGGUGAAAGCAGGGGAUCUUCGGACCUUGCGCGAUUGAAUGAGCCGAUGUCGGAUUAGCUAGUUGGCGGGGUAAAGGCCCACCAAGGCGACGAUCCGUAGCUGGUCUGAGAGGAUGAUCAGCCACACUGGAACUGAGACACGGUCCAGACUCCUACGGGAGGCAGCAGUGGGGAAUAUUGGACAAUGGGCGCAAGCCUGAUCCAGCCAUACCGCGUGGGUGAAGAAGGCCUUCGGGUUGUAAAGCCCUUUUGUUGGGAAAGAAAAGCGGCAGGUUAAUACCCCGCCGUUCUGACGGUACCCAAAGAAUAAGCACCGGCUAACUUCGUG
This 492-nucleotide ribosomal RNA is filed under the name uncultured bacterium. RNAcentral describes it as "partial 16S ribosomal RNA". It matches the Rfam family "Bacterial small subunit ribosomal RNA", at positions 29 to 507 of the family's 1533-position model. The record is from RNAcentral.